GAAGCGCACCAGACCGUCGCUGGCACGAUAUCCCGAAAGGGUGUGCUGGAGGAACGUCCGGACUGCACAGGACAGCGUAGGAGGUAACACCUCUCCGCCGACAAGCCCGACGAGUUCGCUCGAAGGGCCCUAAGGUGAGGAUCAGAGCAACAGAGACGAGCCGAUUUAGUUCGGGUGAAACGGGCAAUCUCUACGCGCAGCAAUACCAAAUAGGCCAACGUUGACGUGGUUCCGCGGAGUUGGCGGGUAGGUAGCACCGAGCCGGGGGGUGACCCCCGGCCCAGAUGAAUGACGGUCACAUCCGGGGCAACCUGGAUGCACAAAAUCCGGCUUAUCGGUGCGCUUCACAC
Molecule: RNase P RNA, 350 nt
Filed under: Hydrogenophaga sp.
Lineage: Bacteria; Pseudomonadati; Pseudomonadota; Betaproteobacteria; Burkholderiales; Comamonadaceae
Description: RNase P RNA component class A
Rfam family: Bacterial RNase P class A
About the family: Ribonuclease P (RNase P) is a ubiquitous endoribonuclease, found in archaea, bacteria and eukarya as well as chloroplasts and mitochondria. Its best characterised activity is the generation of mature 5'-ends of tRNAs by cleaving the 5'-leader elements of precursor-tRNAs. Cellular RNase Ps are ribonucleoproteins.
Source: RNAcentral